UACAGAGGUCCCGAGCGUUGUUCGGAUUCACUGGGCGUAAAGGGUGCGUAGGUGGCUUGCAAAGUUUGAUGUGAAAGCUCAGGGCUUAACCCUGAAAUGGCAUUGAAUACUGUCGAGCUGGAGGUUUGGAGGGGGGACUGGAAUUCUUGGUGUAGCAGUGAAAUGCGUAGAUAUCAAGAGGAACACCAGUGGCGAAGGCGAGUCCCUGGACAACACCUGACACUGAGGCACGAAAGCUAGGGGAGCAAACAGG
This 253-nucleotide ribosomal RNA is filed under the name uncultured bacterium. Its description in RNAcentral is "partial 16S ribosomal RNA". It matches the Rfam family "Bacterial small subunit ribosomal RNA", at positions 524 to 776 of the family's 1533-position model. The record is from RNAcentral.